This 345-nucleotide ribosomal RNA is filed under the name uncultured bacterium. Its description in RNAcentral is "bacterial SSU rRNA". It matches the Rfam family "Bacterial small subunit ribosomal RNA", at positions 8 to 351 of the family's 1533-position model. The record is from RNAcentral.
AGAGUUUGAUCCUGGCUCAGGAUGAACGCUAGCGGCAGGCUUAACACAUGCAAGUCGAGGGGCAGCGAGAUGUAGCAAUACAUUGUCGGCGACCGGCGCACGGGUGCGUAACGCGUAUGCAACCUACCAUAUACAGGAGGAUAACCAUUCGAAAGAAUGACUAAUACUCCAUAGUAUUAUUUUGAGGCAUCUUAGAAUAAUUAAAGAAUUUCGGUAUAUGCUGGGCAUGCGUGACAUUAGCUAGUUGGAGAGGUAACGGCUCACCAAGGCUACGAUGUCUAGGGGUUUUGAGAGGAAGAUCCCCCACACUGGUACUGAGCCAGGAUCAAACUCUAAGGGCGAAUU